UCACAAAGGUGAAUUCACUUGCUCAAGAUCGAACACACACAAAAUGGAGGUGGUUCAAACCCAGGUGUGUCUGACUGCAGAGCCUGUGUUCUUCCCAGUAGAGAUGUGGAUGCAGCACAAAUGGUAGAAAGGACCUGAGACUUAGUCAGAAGACCUCAGUUCACCCAAGGUAUCUGCUAUGCCCAAGGCCUCUGCUCAGUGCUGAGGAAACAAGCAUGGACAAGAUGUGGCCUCCACCCUGAGGAGCUCCUAAAUCUAGGACAGAGUAAAUCUGUUAGAAAUGUCUUCUCUGCACAUAAUUUAAGCUCUACCAACUGUUAACUUCUUUUCAUUUAUCCAAGUUUUGCCAGGUACUAUACCAAUAAAAAAAGACU
RNAcentral lists this non-coding RNA (374 nucleotides) under Pan troglodytes (chimpanzee). The record is from RNAcentral. Lineage: Eukaryota; Metazoa; Chordata; Mammalia; Primates; Hominidae.